RNAcentral lists this ribosomal RNA (454 nucleotides) under Salmonella enterica. RNAcentral's name for it is "partial 23S ribosomal RNA". It matches the Rfam family "Bacterial large subunit ribosomal RNA", at positions 739 to 1191 of the family's 2925-position model. The record is from RNAcentral. Lineage: Bacteria; Pseudomonadati; Pseudomonadota; Gammaproteobacteria; Enterobacterales; Enterobacteriaceae. RNAcentral also lists the same sequence under 1 other name.
GGCAGGUUGAAGGUUGGGUAACACUAACUGGAGGACCGAACCGACUAAUGUUGAAAAAUUAGCGGAUGACCUGUGGCUGGGGGUGAAAGGCCAAUCAAACCGGGAGAUAGCUGGUUCUCCCCGAAAGCUAUUUAGGUAGCGCCUCGUGAAUUCAUCUCCGGGGGUAGAGCACUGUUUCGGCUAGGGGGCCAUCCCGGCUUACCAACCCGAUGCAAACUGCGAAUACCGGAGAAUGUUAUCACGGGAGACACACGGCGGGUGCUAACGUCCGUCGUGAAGAGGGAAACAACCCAGACCGCCAGCUAAGGUCCCAAAGUCAUGGUUAAGUGGGAAACGAUGUGGGAAGGCCCAGACAGCCAGGAUGUUGGCUUAGAAGCAGCCAUCAUUUAAAGAAAGCGUAAUAGCUCACUGGUCGAGUCGGCCUGCGCGGAAGAUGUAACGGGGCUAAACCAUG